This 464-nucleotide ribosomal RNA is filed under the name uncultured Planctomycetota bacterium. RNAcentral describes it as "bacterial SSU rRNA". It matches the Rfam family "Bacterial small subunit ribosomal RNA", at positions 338 to 795 of the family's 1533-position model. Lineage: Bacteria; Pseudomonadati; Planctomycetota. The record is from RNAcentral.
CCUACGGGGGGCUGCAGUCGAGAAUCUUCCGCAAUGGGCGAAAGCCUGACGGAGCGACGCCGCGUGGAGGACGAAGGCCUUCGGGUUGUAAACUCCUGUCACGGGUUAUGAAUGGUGCAGGAUGAACAAUGCUGCAUUUGACGUAAGCCCGAGAGGAAGCACUGGCUAACUCUGUGCCAGCAGCCGCGGUAAUACAGAGAGUGCGAACGUUGUUCGGAAUUACUGGGCUUAAAGCGCACGUAGGCGGCGCCGCAAGUGCGGGGUGAAAUCCCACGGCUUACCCGUGGAACUGCCCUGCAGACUGCGGUGCUCGAGGAUGGUAGGGGAGAGCGGAACUCCUGGUGGAGCGGUGAAAUGCGUAGAUAUCAGGAGGAACACCAGUGGCGAAGGCGGCUCUCUGGUCCAUGACUGACGCUGAGGUGCGAAAGCCAGGGGAGCAAACGGGAUUAGAUACCCCUGUAGUC